This 338-nucleotide ribosomal RNA is filed under the name uncultured bacterium. RNAcentral describes it as "bacterial SSU rRNA". It matches the Rfam family "Bacterial small subunit ribosomal RNA", at positions 28 to 351 of the family's 1533-position model. The record is from RNAcentral.
GAUGAACGCUGGCGGUGUGCCUAAUACAUGCAAGUCGAACGGACCUUUUAUUAAGCAAUUCCCGAUUCCUUUUCGGGCAUUACUCGAUGAAUGGUUAGUGGCGGACGGGUGAGUAACACGUUGGUACCUGCCCUUUAGUGGGGAAUAACUGGCCGAAAGGUCGGCUAAUACCGCAUGUGGUCUUCGGACUAAAGCAGCAAUGCGCUAAAGGAGGGGCCUGCGUCUGAUUAGCUAGUUGGUAGUGUAAUGGACUACCAAGGCGACGAUCAGUAGCUGGUUCGAGAGGAUGACCAGCCACACUGGGACUGAGAUACGGCCCAGACUCCUACGGGUGGCAG